UACGUAGGGUGCAAGCGUUAAUCGGAAUUACUGGGCGUAAAGCGUGCGCAGGCGGUUGUGCAAGACCGAUGUGAAAUCCCCGGGCUCAACCUGGGAAUGGCAUUGGUGACUGCACGGCUAGAGUGUGUCAGAGGGGGGUAGAAUUCCACGUGUAGCAGUGAAAUGCGUAGAGAUGUGGAGGAACACCGAUGGCGAAGGCAGCCCCCUGGGUUAACACUGACGCUCAGGCACGAAAGCGUGGGGAGCAAACAGG
RNAcentral lists this ribosomal RNA (253 nucleotides) under uncultured bacterium. RNAcentral's name for it is "partial 16S ribosomal RNA". It matches the Rfam family "Bacterial small subunit ribosomal RNA", at positions 524 to 776 of the family's 1533-position model. The record is from RNAcentral.